RNAcentral lists this long non-coding RNA (693 nucleotides) under Homo sapiens (human). Its description in RNAcentral is "non-protein coding lnc-INO80C-1:10". The record is from RNAcentral. Lineage: Eukaryota; Metazoa; Chordata; Mammalia; Primates; Hominidae.
CUUUUCCAUGAAGGUCCCCAAUUGGGCAGUGCCCUGAAAUCACUUCUAAUGCUGAUGCUAGGCAACACCUCAGACCUACUGCUCAGACCCUCCAGGGGCAGGGCCCAGGAUUGAAGAGGGAAGCCCUGCUCCACACGUGUUCAUCAGGAAGGACCCACAGACUGCUGCUCCUGGAGGCCUCUCGGUUUAUGGAUGUGUGUUUGUUCCAUAAACCCUCAGAGGGUCACCUGGAGACCCGCUAAAAUGCAGGUUCUUGGGCCACAUCCUAGACCUUCUGACCGACCCAGGGAGUGGGGCCCAGGAAGCUGCAUUUGACAGAUAUCCCCGUGUGAUCAUCAUGCACACAGGAGUGAGAGAACCAGUGUUCUCCCCGGGCAGAAGGGAAGCUCGUGUGCAGGACACCUCACACCUCCUUUCCCAUUCCCCUGCCAGGCUCUCCCUGCUGACAUUGUUUUUGCGGGAGAGCUGUGAAUUCUGAAGAUUAGGUUGCUUCUCACCCCAAGCUCCAGAAGUCCAGGCUGAGCCAAACCAAGCUUCAAGUUGUGCCUGGACUUGGAGAACCAGGAGGUGAGGGGACUGACUACUUGAAGAUCACAUGGAGGAGGAGUCUGAUCCAGGCCCAGGCACCAAGGAAAGGCCAUGCAAGGACACAGGGAGAAGGGCAGCUGUCUGUAAGCCAGAAAGAGCCUUCAC